UCUUAGGAAAUCCAGCUCUGAUCUUUCUGGUGUGACCUUUGAUCAGAAACCAGGGAACCAACCCCAACCUAAAUGGCUCUUUUGGGGGUGUGUUCUUGUCCCAGGCAGGACCAGUCCUCAGGGAGGCAGAAACUCCUUGCCAAACUGGCGGCCAGUCAUACCCACUUCACCAUCCCAGGGAAGGAGGGAGAGAAUCUGUCAUGGACCUUUUGGCAAAAUCCUUCUUCCUCCCCAAACACCAGCUAUGAUUAGCUGUGUCCUCACCACGAAACUGCAGGGGUGUGUGCGGAUGAGAAGAGGUGAAGAGAGAAGCAGUGCAGGUGUGAAGGUGUACAUCUGCAGGAAUGCCCCUGUACAUGCCGCUACAAGGAGUAAACAGAAAAGAGUCCAGGAGAGGAAAAGAAAAGCUGAGUGAAGUUGAACAAGAAAAUACUCAGCCAGGAGAGCAGGAGUAUUCUGAGGAAACAACUUCUAAACUGACUGCAGAAGAGGUGAGUAGCUGGGGUCAGGAAGCAGCCCGUGCAGAGGCCUGGAGGUAAGUGCCAGCAUGCGUGUCUGAGCAACUGUGGUCCCAAAGCUUAGGUUACAAGAGGUUGAGAAAUAAGGCUCAGAGAUAAGCAGGAGCCAGAUUACAAAAAGUCUUGUAAGACCAUGUUAAGGUGUGUGGGCUUUAUCCUAAGAGCAAUAGGGAGCCAGAAAGGAGUUAAAGCAAAGAAGUGGCG
This 722-nucleotide long non-coding RNA is filed under the name Bos indicus x Bos taurus (hybrid cattle). RNAcentral describes it as "lncRNA (ENSBIXG00000023777.1)". Lineage: Eukaryota; Metazoa; Chordata; Mammalia; Artiodactyla; Bovidae. The record is from RNAcentral.